This 82-nucleotide non-coding RNA is filed under the name Clostridium sp. RNAcentral's name for it is "ZTP sequence". It matches the Rfam family "ZMP/ZTP riboswitch aptamer (pfl RNA motif)". From Rfam's summary of the family: Previously known as pfl RNA. The record is from RNAcentral. Lineage: Bacteria; Bacillati; Bacillota; Clostridia; Eubacteriales; Clostridiaceae.
AUAAAAUCAUGCAACUGGCGGAGAAUGGAAUUUACCAUAGGGAGCAUGAUUUUUGAAUAUAUCGACCGCCUGGGUAAACAUU